RNAcentral lists this ribosomal RNA (479 nucleotides) under uncultured bacterium. RNAcentral describes it as "partial 16S ribosomal RNA". It matches the Rfam family "Bacterial small subunit ribosomal RNA", at positions 28 to 507 of the family's 1533-position model. The record is from RNAcentral.
GAUGAACGCUAGCGGGAGGCCUAACACAUGCAAGCCGAGCGGUAUUGUUUCUUCGGAAAUGAGAGAGCGGCGUACGGGUGCGUAACACGUGUGCAACCUGCCUUUAUCUGGGGGAUAGCCUUUCGAAAGGAAGAUUAAUACUCCAUAAUAUAUUGAACGGCAUCGUUUAAUAUUGAAAGCUCCGGCGGAUAGAGAUGGGCACGCGCAAGAUUAGCUAGUUGGUGAGGUAACGGCUCACCAAGGCGAUGAUCUUUAGGGGGCCUGAGAGGGUGAUCCCCCACACUGGUACUGAGACACGGACCAGACUCCUACGGGAGGCAGCAGUGAGGAAUAUUGGUCAAUGGGUGCAAGCCUGAACCAGCCAUCCCGCGUGAAGGACGACUGCCCUAUGGGUUGUAAACUUCUUUUGUAUAGGGAUAAACCUACCCUCGUGAGGGUAGCUGAAGGUACUAGACGAAUAAGCACCGGCUAACUCCGUG